RNAcentral lists this ribosomal RNA (532 nucleotides) under unidentified oral bacterium RP55-23. Its description in RNAcentral is "bacterial SSU rRNA". It matches the Rfam family "Bacterial small subunit ribosomal RNA", at positions 8 to 509 of the family's 1533-position model. The record is from RNAcentral.
AGAGUUUGAUCCUGGCUCAGGACGAACGCUGGCGGCGUGCUUAACACAUGCAAGUCGAACGAAGAGCGAUGGAAGCUUGCUUCUAUCAAUCUUAGUGGCGAACGGGUGAGUAACGCGUAAUCAACCUGCCCUUCAGAGGGGGACAACAGUUGGAAACGACUGCUAAUACCGCAUACGAUUUGACCUCGGCAUCGAGGAUAGAUGAAAGGUGGCCUCUAUUUAUAAGCUAUCACUGAAGGAGGGGAUUGCGUCAGAUUAGCUAGUUGGAGGGGUAACGGCCCACCAAGGCGAUGAUCAGUAGCCGGUCUGAGAGGAUGAACGGCCACAUUGGGACUGAGACACGGCCCAGACUCCUACGGGAGGCAGCAGUGGGGAAUCUUCCGCAAUGGACGAAAGUCUGACGGAGCAACGCCGCGUGAGUGAUGACGGCCUUCGGGUUGUAAAGCUCUGUUAAUCGGGACGAAAGGCCUUCUUGCGAAUAGUUAGAAGGAUUGACGGUACCGGAAUAGAAAGCCACGGCUAACUACGUGCC